This is a non-coding RNA of Osmia lignaria (orchard mason bee), 4644 nucleotides long. Lineage: Eukaryota; Metazoa; Arthropoda; Insecta; Hymenoptera; Megachilidae. The record is from RefSeq and is a predicted model, not a curated record.
UUCCGGGUGUUACAGGAGUUAUGAGACACCCUGUAUAUCAUUUUGAUUACUGUUUUUCCUAUAUCACAUCUGAUUUAAAUUUUGACAGGUUUAGAACGGUGCUCAAUAGAUCGGUAUUCAAUGGCUCGGUGUUCCUCGGUAUCAUUAGUUAAUGCUCCAGCAGCACUUCCUUGGGAAAUCGGACAUACACUACACAGUGAAUCUCCGCCAACGUGAGUUAGGGAUGCCGCCACGCAAACGGAGGACUUGGGAUCUCCAACGCAUGCUAGUUAGUACAGCGUGGCGGCAGAAUGGCAUCCGCUAGUUCACCGUCUCCAAAUUCAGCGAUCACCUCGAUGUCAGUCUUUCCGUGACAAUUCAUUUUCAAUGGCAGCGGAAUUGCCGUUUUAUGUUGAAACGAUGCAGUUGGAAGAAAUAGAAAAUGGAUGUAAUCGUCGACUAUACUUGGAGAGCACGCACUUCAAAAGUGUACCCGACCUGAUUCGGGACGUGAAACUUAAUUGACAUAUAAUCGCGAACGUUUACGUGUUAUCGAAGGUAAAUUGUACUAGAUUCACUGCAGAAGCUUUGGCAAUUAAGAACCGAGUUUUCGAAAGAAUAUUAAUAUUUUAUAUUAAUCAAGAUUAUAAGAUUUUGUAUUAUAGGUUAAUAAUAUUUAACCGAAAAUGAUAACGCAUACUAUGUUGAAACUAAGAAAUAAGAUUAAGAAGACAGAUUUUCGUGAUUCGAAUUGAAAAUUUAAACACCAAUGCAUUGCAUUCAAUCGUCGAAUAAAGUAAUAAACAGAGUAAUUAUGUAAAACUUAUUAAGUUUUAACAUUUUUCCAUCACUUCAGAAUAAUUGCAAAGUAGAGAAUUUUUGAUAUUAUUGAAUAUUAACAUCGUCAUUAUCUCGACGAUCACAUCGUUGGAACAUGUACAUUUAUCACUCGUCACACGUACAUACUUAUUUAUAAUAACCGCACAAACUACGGAUAUAAAAUAGUAUUUAAGCAGUUAUCGGACGUACAAUAUUUUUUAAAUCGUUCCUUUUCUAAAGGUAAACUUUCAACAAUAGGUUGUAGCGAUUGUUCUACAAUUUGUUGUUUAAAAUUUUUAUAUUUAUUUGUUAUACAUGAAUUGUAGGUAAAAAUUAAUUUAGAGUCGUAGCUCAGGAGCCAACAGAAUUGAAACUGAUUGUGAGAAGCUUUGGACGAUCUUUGUCUUUCGUGCAUAGAGAAACAAGGACAAACCGAUAUUCAAGCAGUCAUGUUGAUAUCAAAACAGUGGCGGACUAAGCAGCCGUGUAGGGCCCCGAAGCGGCCCUGAGGUCUCAUAAUGUCUUUUCAUUAGGGUUCGAGGAAAAUUACGGGUUUUUUUUUGGUUGUCCAAAUAUCAUAAUAAUAACAGAGCUUCACCAAAGACUCUGUUAUUACACAUAAUAUUAUAGUCAACAUAACGAUAUACAUAUGUAUACACACCAAUUUUUGAUUACUUUUCCUUCUUGUUGAUAACUUAAUGUGAGUUUUCUUUAAACUUUUUUUUUCCAACUUGAGUUUGAAGGUCCAGAAAUUUGAACCACAGUAUCUUGGGAUUGGGGAGCCUCCGCUUGACUUGAUCCGCCACUCUGUAAAGAUGGUUCAAUUUUGCAAUUUUCUUUUUUAAAAUAGUCUGUAUAAUUAUACAGAGGUAUACAGAGCCUAACUUUCCAUUUUGACUUUUAAAGGGGAUCGUACAGAGUAACGGAUCGAAAAUAUGGGUAUUUUUGAGAAUUUUUAAAAACAUAAUAAUAUAACAUACAAUUUUUCUGUUUUAUGAUACAUAAAUUAGCUGUAUUGGAGAAAAUAUGAAAAAUGUUUUUAAUAGUUUUGGUAAUGUUCUGGCUGAUAUACACAAUUUUGAAACGACCGUCUCUAAAAGAACGUUGUCGUGGCGUUAACAACAAAUUGGUCUUGCACUUUGUUUGACACACAAAAUAAUCAAAAUAUUUUAGAAACUACAUAUGAUUGGCUAUUACAGCAUGUAAAGAAAUUAACAAAUGUUGAAAAAUAACAAAAUAGCGAACAUAUGUAAAAAUAUUUUGAAAUUUUAUUAAUUGUUCGUAUGAUAAAAGUAAAGAAAAAUUAAAUCAUUUUUAUCAAUCAAAAAACGGAUACGGCUUUUUACAAAAUGCAAUCUUGAGGACGACAAUUGGAUUUGUUAGAUUUUUUAUUUGCUGUCAACGUGAUUGAAAAAUGUCAUUUCGAGAAAAAGCACUUAAAAUUUGAUUAUCAGAUUACUUAAUUUGCCGAAUUUAGUCUUAAAGCUGUAUAGGCAUAUUCUUGGGAUGUAUAUCUAUGUGAAAAAACUGCUUUUUCUGACCCCUUAGUGCAGGGCUUCGAAUUAACUGCUCUUUUCGACCAGUUUUCAGAGGCUACGCCCCUUUCUUCCCGCCCCUCGCGAGGGCCGUAGUCCUCGAGGCAGCUCAGGCGCGUGCCGCAUUCGUAUGGCUACACUCGUAUUAAUAGGUUUCCACAUCACUUAUGGGGUACGAUUCAUACGGCACGCGUCUGAGGUGCCUUGAAAACUACGGCCCUCGCGCGGGUCACGGCGAACGGCGGGAGGAAAGGGGUGUUGCCUCUGAAAACUGGCCGAAAAAGCAGAUAAUUAGUGUGUACGACCCCCUUAAAACUUUAUAAAAAGUACCUUUUUAUAGACACAAAUUUUUUUACAAUUUUUCCCCAAAACGCUUUACUUUACAUAUAAUCGUUUAAUUUUGUAUCUUUAUUUAAGAUUUAUUUGGAUUAACAGUGUUAUAAUUGUAUAAGCAUUCGAUUUGUUCAUAAUACAGUAACUAAUAUUGACAUAGAACGUAAAGUUGGUACUAAUAACCUCUCCAUAAUGUAAACGAAAAGUGUGUAUAGAAUAUUUGUUAAUACAGUGGACUCUCGUUAUAUUGUCACCAAUGAGUCCAUAGAAGCGGAAAAGUGAAGCUUCCAAACUCUGAUUUGAAGGGUGGAGGGUAGAUAAAAAUGUAUCAUUUUCAUAGACUAUGAUGGUGGAAGGAUGACACUGGUACGUGGCAAUAUAACGAGAGUUUACUGUAAUCUCAAUGCACUCAAUGAGUGAAUAUGUUAAGGGGGUAGACACGAGUAAUGCAGCGAUGUGACAUUACUGGCAAAAAUGGGCCUAAAAAGGGGUUUACGGGAAUACACUUUUCGUCCUUAUAUGAAGAGAUUUAGGGCUGGGUGAGGGCUCAUUCGAAAGAGGAAGGUCCAAUGCAGAGCGGUCUGGUCAUGGUUCAACGAGAUUGUGUUGAUACCUAAUAAUAUGAGUGUCCAAAGUAGAGUAAAAAUCGACAAAAUACAUUCGCAGAAUCCAAGGUAUUUUUAGGUUACUAAAAGAGUUUUGUGACUCAAACGGUGACCAGAGCGCCCUGCAUUGAACCUUCCUCUUUCGAAUGAACCCCUAUUUACAUCAAAAUCUUCUCAUAUAAGGACGAAAAGUGUAUUCCCGUGAAAGCAUUCCCACAGAUCAGUUCCGCCAUUUUGUGGAUAAUACAGAGCAAGUCGCGUGACAAAUUUAGUUCAGUUAGUAGUUAAAAGGUAGCGUCGAACUAAAAAGGCUGCCGAUUAGGAAUCGUCGCCAGAAUCAGGCGUUAGCUUGGUUACGUCACUCGAACUGUGUCUGCGAAGGCAAGCGGAAAAGGGAACAACGUCCGAACGCUGAGUGAUACGCACUACAGUCAUACUGCCCUUCCCUCAUUCUGAAUGUUCAGAUUGUCCUUUCUCGCUAAGUUUUGACUGACGCCCGUCUGGAUUUUUCACAACGCCCCAUAAGAAACCUCGCUCAAAGAGGAGGUAUAACGAGAGAAGAAUAUACCUCCUCUUUGCAAUAAUUCUGCAAAUGUUUACAUAAAUUGUGUGUGAGGUAUUCAUUUAUUUAAAUUAUUUGCAUUCACUCAGAAUAUUGACUAACACUCCUUUGUAUUUUUUAUUAGUUUCGAAAAACAAAGUUGUUAUAGGUCUCUGAAAAUAUAAACGUCACGCAAUUGAGACAAGUUAUAUCUUAAAUUUGGUAAGAGAUAGGAAAAAGCUAUUAAUAACAGUUGAAAGGUAUGACUUAUGAAAAAUAUGAAAUAUCUCAAGAAAUAUUAGUUUUUUAAACAUUGUACUGUUAGACAUAGGCGCGUUAGCGAAAUAGAAGAGAGGGAAUAGUAGAGAGGGGAGAGAAGGAAAUAUAGACGCGAGCACGGCGGAACGAAGCGAUUUUAGUUAUGUUAAUUAUGUUAUCGCGAGUGAGUUAUGAUUGUAUAUUUUUGUGUUUUUUGGGAGAAAUAAAAGGUCUUGUGUUAAAGAACUUGAAUUCUGAUCUCGGGAGACGAGGCCCCUCCGUUUAUUCUCCGUAUAUCGUUCUAAUAGUACCAUAGAAUUUUUUUAUGCAGAAUGUUCCAAGGAGUUGAUACGAGUAAAAAAGAUGUGCAAUUCUAUUUAAAUAAAAAGUGCAUCUGCAUUGUUUUAGUGCAUCGUUGCAUUCACGAAGAAAAUGAAGUCAUAGAAAAAUAGACUUUUACAUGAUCAGCUUUUUCCUAUCUCUUACCAAAUUCAAGAUAUAUGUAACAUGUAACCCGCCCCAAUUGCGUGACGCACCCUGUAUGCUUUUAUCAAUUAAAAAACAUUUAUUUAAA